AUUGAACGCUGGCGGCGUGCUUAACACAUGCAAGUCGAACGCGAAAGCGGCUUCGGCCGUGAGUAGAGUGGCGCACGGGUGAGUAACGCGUGGACAAUCUGCCCUCAUGAUCGGGAUAACAGUUGGAAACGACUGCUAAUACCGGAUACGCUCUGGAUGAACAUUUGGAGGAAAGACGGCCUCUGCAUGCAAGCUGUCGUAUGAGGAUGAGUCCGCGUCCCAUUAGCUUGUUGGUGGGGUAACGGCCUACCAAGGCGACGAUGGGUAGCCGAUCUGAGAGGAUGAUCGGCCACACUGGAACUGAAACACGGUCCAG
Molecule: ribosomal RNA, 316 nt
Filed under: uncultured bacterium
Lineage: Bacteria
Description: bacterial SSU rRNA
Rfam family: Bacterial small subunit ribosomal RNA
Source: RNAcentral